Molecule: long non-coding RNA, 7072 nt
Organism: Gallus gallus (chicken)
Lineage: Eukaryota; Metazoa; Chordata; Aves; Galliformes; Phasianidae
Source: Ensembl
GAAGGAAAGAAAGAAGGAAGGAAGGAAGGAAUGAAGGAAGGAAGGAAGGAAAGAAAGAAAGAAAGAAGGAAGGAAAGGUUAUGACAGGAAAAUAUCUUUUUUCGGGGUUUUUGUGGUGGUUGUUGUUUCCUGCUUUGCUUAGCAGGCAAGCUGUGUGUGGCUGUGUCUUAUCGGUUCAUGGACAGUACAAACACAUAAAUCCUUUCGACAAAAGUAAGAGGGAGAUUAAUUCUGCAUUGAAAUGGGUAAUACUUUAAUGAGCAGAAGAUGGCCUUUUUUUCCCACCAGGACCCAUCUCACAGACACACCAAAUGCCCCAUGCUCACAGCUCCCAGUCCACUCUUUGCUUUUGCUUUCACACGAUUAAACAAUUACUGAUUCCAUAGUUAUAAAAUGCUUCUGUAUGCCAAUACCCUCUGCUUUAGCCUUCGUUCAGCAGAAGCAUAAAGAUAGAUGACAAAUGAUUUGACAUCAAACUGUUUUGACUGCAGUAUUUAGGGGGGGAAAAAAUGGUAUAUAGGCACUGCAAGGGUCUGCAGCUGCCUCUGACAAGCUGCUGUAGCAGCUUCUGGAUCUCCAGCUUCACAGCGCUAAUCGAUACAAAUGACUCCGGGGAAGAAGCUCAUCUGCAUUACUCAUCAUCUGUGCGUUCCAGUGAUGGCAUGGCAGGAAUGAAACCAGCUAAGAUGAAACUGCCUGAUGAUCAAUAAGGACACUUCAUGUGUGUGUAAAAGGAGAAGACUGGCAUGAACCCUGCAGAACUCGCUCGGCAACAGCCACACAUUCUGUCAUCCACUCUAAGAUUUUCUAAACCUAUGUUGCUCCAGUGAUAAGAGUCUUGCUGCAGUGAGCCAGUCAUUUGCCUACCAAGUGCUUAUUGGCUAUCACCUGACUGCUUUUUUGUUAUUAAAAAAAGAAAGAUGCCUUCUUCCCUGAGGAUUUUGUUUUUAGAGAAGGUGGCAGCUGGAGCUGCUAACCCUUUAUGUAUCUACAGAGAACUGCAGAGGCAGGAAUUGCUUCCUCCACUGCACAAUAUUAGUAUGUCUCAGUUGGGAAAUGAAAGAAAAAAGCAGCUGCAAUUCCUUGGGAACACUGAAAUCUGGGAAAAGUGCAUUAUUUGUCUAUUUUUUUUUCUUCCAAGAACUGAUCCCAGCUUCAUGCAGUGUAGAACAGAACAUCAAUGAGCAGCAGCCAAAUUAAUCUACAAACAACAGCAGUGAUGACAACAGCCCUUGAAGAAGCUACUUGAAGGAUUUGUUUGCAUGGAUAAAUCAGUGUUUCUUCCAUGUCUUCACCACUCCUUACUUAAGUUGGUCUGGCUGACUACCUUUGAGUGAGUACCAACAGUAAUUCAGAGUGAGACAGUUUUAAUGUAUUUCUUCAGUGAGAUGAAAAACACAAACCACCAGACCAUGGAUACAGUUACAUGUGUAGAAAAAUCAUCUAUCUGAACAGUUUGUCUGUGGGGAAAGAAGAAUAUAUGUAGAGGUUGUUUGUCUUUGCAAAUUGUUUGGUGGAUUGUGCUGAAGUGAAUACAUUAGUAGAUAUGAAACUGUUCUUUGACAGUCUGUUCAAGGCGGCAUGAAAACCUCACCCAUCCUGACAGAUUUUGUGAAGAAGCAAGGGCAAUGUGCAGAACUCCUCAUGGAGAAUACCACCACUAAAAUUACAUGCUGGAGCAUUGUUGCUGGGACAGAUAGCUGAAAGUGUUACGGAGGAAAAAAAAAAAAAAAAAGACUGGGAUAGAUUUUGGAGAGCAAUGGCCUUGGCAGACAAUAUGCAAAUACCGUAGUGAUGGACAUAUCACUACAGUGAAUCCUAGGGAACAACUGCUGUAAUUCAAGUACAGCAAAUCACACAGCUCAGAUAAGACUCAUCCAAGAGUGCCAGAGGAAAUAAAGUGUGAAAUAGCAGAAACACCGAUGAGGAAGCUGAAUAUAGGGGCCUGUAAACAUAGAGCAAAAAAGAAGCUAGUUUGUGCACUGUGUAUUCCACCUGUAGAAUUUACUGCCAGACUGGAGUCAUUGAAUGAAACCCAGACACAAGGCAAAAAGGAUUGGUUCAUGCAGUGACUUGAUGAUAAUCAUGGUUAUUCAUGUGAUAGACAUUCUGCUUUCCAUUUUUGCUACACAGAGACUUAAGGGGGAGGAAAGGUUAGAAAAAGUGUCACAUUCUUCAGCCAACUGUAGUAUUACCAAUGGAUACAUUAUAAGGUUUACCAUUCUCUGGAGGUUCAAGACUGGCCAUUCCCCAGGGCCAAAGACUAUUUCUGAAUGAGUAGACUUGUCUGUUGAAGCAGAUUGCUUUAGAGGGUAUUUGUCUAUGAAGCCUCUGGUCCAUGAUCAGCGUCUUCAUCAGAUUUACCACAAGAAACAUAUUUCAGUGACAGAGUCUGCUGAUUGUUACGUUGACUCUGUGUUUGGUGGCAAAUGUAUUCAAGGACUUACAUCUUGUAUCUCUGUUGCACAAUGCUUGAGUGUCUCUCAACUGCAGGGUCAUGACUGUAGAGUUAGAGUACGAGGACACUAACAGCUAUGGGAUAGCGUCUGCAUCUGAGGCUCUCAUGGCCACAAACAGGUUUCUUUACUGAGGGAAGAAGAGUAGGGAGGAUUGCAUCAUUUGUAAAGGAGCUUCUUGACAGUACAGAGCACUGAUAUGAAAUUGGAAACUUGUCUUUUGGUGGUCUUUGGAUCAAGAUCAGUUAACCUUGGAGAUAUUAUGUAAUGGAUAUGCUACAAUCUGCUCACCGAAAGUAUGAGAUAAACAAGGCUUACUGCAAGUAACAAGUGGAAAUCUCCCAGCUGUAGCUUACCUUUUUCAAAGGGAGCUUAAUAUCCACACAUUGUCUAGGAGGUCAGCAUGGUACUGUGCAAGCAGCUGAGAUAGUUCCUUGAUUGCAUUGCUGGUGACAUCCCUAAACUAAUGCUUGACAGGCCAACCAGGACAGGUUCACAGAAAGUGAGCCAGAAUUACUGGUAAAAGUGACUCUAAGCUAAUGGCUGUGGAUACAGUGACCAGGAGAUGAUUGAGCUCAGGAUGGGGAGGAAAGAUGGGAAAGCAGCAGAGUUAGGUCUUUGGAAUAAAAGACAGUAGGAAGUUGCUAGGAGGGUGGUUGGUUUUUUUAAAAAAAUAAUAUAUAUUAGCUCAAUAUAAUAUAUAUAAUUAUAUAUAUAAAUAAAUAUAUAUAAUAAUAUACAUAAUACAUAUAAAGCUCAAGCACAAGCUAUCCAACUGUGAUGGCUAAUCACAAACUGGCUAUUUCAUGAGAAGAUACCCUUGACUAAGCCAGGAACUUAUUUGCAAACUAAAAAAAAAAAAAAAAAAAAAAGCAAGAAGUGGAAACCAGCAAAAGCAACAAAGGAGAAUUCUAUUGAGGAAAAAUUUGGAAAAAACUUGUCAGAUGUCUCAAUCACUUGCUUGCUAGGGAGAAGGCCAAAGCUCAGGUGGAGAUAAACCCAAGUCUAGUCUAGAAGAUGACAACUUCAGUAGAUAUGCUAGUAGUAAGAGGAAGUUUAGAGAAAACAAGGAGCUGUUGUUGAGUGGAGAAGACAAUCUAGUCCAUAGUAAUCGAUAAUUCAUUAUCUGGUAUGCAUUUUGGAACAAACACAAAAGAGGUUUACAUUGUUCAGUAAUUUCAUCAUAAUUUACUUGGAUGCUAAGAACACUACUGGUGGAUGAUACUAAAUUAGAAAGAGGUGUUAUUAAGCUGUAAAGUAAAACCUCAAUCCAGGUGCACUUCAAGAAAUGUAAAUUAUGCACGUGGGAAUAAAAACCUUAUUCAGGCACAAAUGCAGGCUGAAACUGACAAGAUGACUAGCAGUGUUCAUGUAAAUGCCUGUAGCUAGUAGUGAAUACCAAGGCAAAUAUGUCUCGUUUUGGGUUCCACAUCAAGAGGGGUAAGGAGAAAGAAUGUCAGAGGGCUACCAAGAUAGUUUGAAGCCUAGAGCACAUGACCUUCAAGAAGUUGAGAGAUCUAGACUUGUUCAGUGUGAAGUGAAAGUUAUCUGAUAGCAACUUAGAACAACUGGAAGGGAAUUUAUGAUUUGAUGGAGCCAAACCCUUUCAUUUGAAGAACAUAAAAUGAAAAGAAGCAGUGACCAUUUACUGUAGUUUGGGAGAUUCACAUUAAACAUUUUGGAAAAAUUCCUCGCAAAGUACAGGAUUUUAGCAAUGGAAGAAUGAGGGACUGCAGGAUCUCUACUGUUGGAGGUUUUCAUGACCUGUCUAGGCAAGGUCAUGUCAGGCCUGAUCUACAGCUAGUGAUGGUUUUGCUUCAGGGCAAAGGCUGAACUAUACAGUUUCCAGAGGAAUCUUCCAACACUCUAUGAAUCAAAGAGUAACUCAAGAUUAAAUGCAUUGUUUUCUUCAUACACAGCAUGUGUCUGAUUUCCACUGCAUCAAAAUAGACUUGUUUAGAUAAAAUUCAGGAGCUGCUCUCAGACUGUUCUUUUAUAUCUCCUUUGCCUUAAGAGUGCCAAGGGAAUUAUGCUUCUGUAACUUGGCAGGAGACCUAUAGCUUAGGAUAAAACCUAUUUUCAUGCUGUUUUGUCUUAUAUCACCUUUGGCAAGAAGGAGAGCAUAUUUUGCUUUGCAAUGUCACUUUAUUUGAGAGGAUCCUCUUGAGUUAGUAGCAGCCGCGAAGGUCAAGAGAUUAGAGAGGAAAACUAAUUGCAUGCUAUAAACAAACCAAAUGUACUUCAUUCUGCACUAGGGUUUUUAUCAGCUCUUGUUUUAUCAGAAAUCAAUCCGUCCCUUCACAGUUUACUCGUUCAUAGGAUAACAAAUUAGAGUUUGCAGUAGUAAAUAUGGAAACUAUAGCUAUAAUUCAUCAGUUCUUUUAUCUCUGAUAAGCUUGCAUUAUUCACAAUAGAAGGUCCAUCUCUCAUUUUACCAGGGAAUGUGACAUUUGUUUCUUCAUUUAUAAACCAUUUAUACAGAUAAACUCACAGAGCAGAGUCCACAAACAUACCUGAAGUAACUUCCCAGUACAAUUGAACUGAAUAGACUUGGUUGUUUAUAGCUUGCAAAGUUCUAUUUUGCCUAGAAACAAGUCUUCAAAACUUGGAAGCCCCCUUUUCUGGGUGUUAUAAUGUAACAAACCUUAGAACUAUAUUCUCCCUAUGUGAAUUGGUAUUACAGCCUUUGCCGUCAGUGCAUGAUUUCUUUGAGCUUCAGUCACAGAAACCCACAUGCAGCUAAAACACAGGCUUUAAACAGCUCUCUGCAGUCUUCUUUCAGAGUCAUCUAGGCUCAAAACACAAGUGGGAACGUGUGAUUAACACCCACCAAAAAAAAAAAAAAAAAAAAAAAAAAAAAGGAAAAGAAAAAGAAAAAAAAAGAAAAGAAAGGAAAGGAAAGAAAGAAAGAAAAAGAUCCAACUCAUCCUCCACACUCCACAAAAGGACUUCUCAGAAGAAUGUUGUUUACCCAGCAUCAUAGGAAGUGUCUGGUACGGAAGAAAUGUGGGAAAAAGUUCAUACACAUGCUUUAAGAAAUAUCCAGGAAAAGAAAAAAGAGAAACUAGAACAGAAAGGGGAAGACAGAGAAGGUCAUGAAACUCCAAAGGCAGACAUUUUCUGGGACUAAGCUCUGCGUGGCAUGAUGGUGGGGCAAGAUCUGGCAGUAGGAUACUACCUUCCCAUCUGACAGUGCUGUCAGAUGGGAUGCCCAGGCUUUCCUCCCCCCAGGUGCAGGCUCUUGCAGACCUACGUGCAAAGCACAGCCAUUUGCUAUGACAGAGGGAAGAGGAGAAGGAGGAUUUAGGAGAGGCCAGCACAGCUUCAGCUGCCUCCUCUGUGUCUCCCUCCAGUCCCCAGCUUGGCCAUGAGCCCUUAGACCUAGGUCAGAAGGAUGUACCAGCAACCAGGAGUUACUAACUGCAAGUAGUUUUACUGCUGAAUUUGUAGGAGAGAAAGAGAGAGAAAAUGUCUCUGAAGACCUAGUAUUCUGUUACUAUUCUUUUCUCACCUGUUUCAGAUGAGAAUCGUUUCAGUGAGACUGCUGAUUUCUUUGUUACUUCUUUCUGUCUCAUUUGAUGCCUGCUGCUGGUUUUUUUCUUCUAUCUGGAUAUCUUUUUUUUUCUAUUUGAGAUUAUUAAAAUGUAGUCCUUUCCUUCAGAGAGUAGCCCUUGCCCUGUCAUGAAAUAAAAUCAAAUUGAACGGAAAGGCUUUACUUGGAGUUUGGAGAGGAACUGAGCAGUUUUAACAAGAACAGACAUAAACACCCCCAGACUGCUUGUACUGCCAAUCUGAGCUACCUUAUUCAUGUUAAGAUAUUGAUGAUCUAUUUUCAAGGUGGGAUAUCUACUGCUUUGCAACUUUUGUAUAUGAAGUGUUUUUCUGUAAUUUAAAUACCUCUCAAAGACAACAUCACAUCAAGUUUUCUCACAUUUCUUACUAUCUAACUACCUACUUUUCCUUGCCAUUAAUGCAUCUGAAUAAAUGCCUUACACUAUUAAAUAAGUAUUUUUUUACAUCCUGUUAGAAGGGAGCAGAAAAAAAUCCUAGCUUUGUCAAUGUGUUGCUGCUGAUUUAGUGAGCGUACAUUUGCAAACCAGUAAAGCACACACAAUAUUUUCCUCCAGUCUCCUGCUUGCUCUCCAUUUCUGUUGACAGCAUGGAUAAUUCUGGACCUGCUAAUUCUCUGCUUGUGGUGCUUAAUGCUCUUGCCAGAGCACUCAUUACUAGAAAGAGUCUGAGGAUCAAACUCAUCCCUAGGGUAAUCCAGUGCAACACUGACUGAAGUCAAUAAGAGUUGUGCCUGCCUAUGCCAGAGCUGUAUUAAUCACUGAAACCAUCUCCAAUGCAUAGGUGCCUUGCUAUGUUUAUUCUGUCCCACCAUGCCCUGUACAUUAAGAAGAGAAUAAGAGACAAAAAGUUUAUGCUGUUCUAAUGUCUGCCAGUAACAAGACUGGAGAUUCACAGCAUCUGAAACCAAUCAGUGUAGCAAAGUGCUCUGCAGCUACACAAAGCACUCCAUUUUAACUUUGCAUCUAAUUGUGCAUUAUAGAGGAUCUUUCAAUAUGCUCUUCUAGGCUGCGCUAGCAAACUUAGUAAUAUGCACUCACUUGCUG